UAUUGGUGAAAGGAAUCAUGAACGUGAGGAUGCUUUGGUUGUGUCGAUUUUCUCGUGUAUUUCUUUACACAAGAUAAGAGGCCAACUUCACGUCCAUUGUCCCUUUCACUACUGC
RNAcentral lists this non-coding RNA (115 nucleotides) under Cynara cardunculus (cardoon). The record is from miRBase by way of RNAcentral. RNAcentral also lists the same sequence under 1 other name. Lineage: Eukaryota; Viridiplantae; Streptophyta; Magnoliopsida; Asterales; Asteraceae.